This is a non-coding RNA of Echinostoma caproni, 1969 nucleotides long. The record is from Rfam. NCBI's taxonomy places the organism in Eukaryota, Metazoa, Platyhelminthes, Trematoda, Plagiorchiida, Echinostomatidae.
UUGAGUCGGACACAUUGAGACACACGUUCAUUUCCUUCCGUACACAUCCCUCUAGAUAGAAAAUCAAUGUGGACAGUAUCGAUUGUUUGUUUUUUCAGUUCCAAAUGUUCUCAACGAGCUGAAUACCGAAUAUGUACAUGUCAAUGAGGAAAUCCGAAAUAGAUGAGAAGUUAGACAAUUAGAACAGGGUGCUUGGCAAUUUUGGUCACCAGGUUUGUUUAUCUGGAAAACGGUUUGCAGUGCCUGAUGAACUUUCGAGUGAUUUCAGUUAACCGUGCUUGUGAAUCCAAGAACCGCGUUCGUUGAAGUAUUGAUCAUUUGUAUGACCUUAGGUUAAAUUUGACAAAGAAGAUACGAGUGACUGGACAGAAGAGAGAGUAGUAAAGGAUGUGAUUUGAUUAUAUUGGAGAUUUCAUAGCGACCUAUUCAAGUUAAGCGUGAACUACGAUUGCACGAUUGCACUGCUGCGACCUGACUGGGUUCACUCGGAUAGGGAAAAUAAAACGUGGUUGGAUCUGUGACCCGAGGGUCAUGUGGGUAGUGUGCUUGCGUCCUACCGGUGAGGAGGUCCCGACUUCAGUCAGGUCGACGAAUCCAAACUGCAGAUGAGACCAAAACAGAUUAAAAUAGCAGUACACUUCUGCCUCCUGCCUUUUCAGUUCACACCUCACUUAAACUGAUACCGAAUGAAAUUCCCCCAAAUAAUUGCACACCUUUUCAGUCUGGAAACUUAUUCCAAACUUAUUCCAACAUAUUCCAAGGAAGGCAGCAGGCACGCAAAUUACCCAAUCCCGGCACGGGGAGGUAGUGACGAAAAAUACGGAUACGGGACUCAAUAGAGGCUCCGUAAUUCGAAUGAGUACAAUUUAAAUCCUUUAACGAGGAUCAACUGGAGGGCAAGUCUGGUGCCAGCAGCCGCGGUAACUCCAGCUCCAGAAGCGUAUAUUAAAGUUGUUGCAGUUAAAAAGCUCGUAGUUGGAUCUGGGUCGCAUGGCUACAUGCCGUCGCUCGUUGGUGUGAUCUGGUUACGACCGGAUCAAGCCUGCGAGUCGGUCUAGUGGUUGUGCUUCCUUUCUGCUGUGUCUGUUUACAGGUGUCAGCGUGACUGGUGGGCUUGCCUGCUGGUCUGUUGGCAUGCUUCUUGGUGCCUUUAAACGGGUGUCGGAGGCGGACAGCACGUUUACUUUGAACAAAUUUGAGUGCUCAAAGCAGGCCUUUGUGCCUGAAAAUUCUUGCAUGGAAUAAUGGAAUAGGACUUCGGUUCUAUUUUGUUGGUUUUCGGAUCCGAAGUAAUGGUUAAGAGGGACAGACGGGGGCAUUUGUAUGGCGGUGUUAGAGGUGAAAUUCUUGGAUCGCCGCCAGACAAACUACAGCGAAAGCAUUUGCCAAGGAUGUUUUCAUUGAUCUUGAGCGAAAGUCAGAGGUUCGAAGACGAUCAGAUACCGUCCUAGUUCUGACCAUAAACGAUGCCAACUGACGAUCCGUGGCGGUUCUUUAUGUGUCCCCACGGGCAGUCCCCGGGAAACCCUUAAGUCUUUGGGCUCCGGGGGAAGUAUGGUUGCAAAGCUGAAACUUAAAGGAAUUGACGGAAGGGCACCACCAGGAGUGGAGCCUGCGGCUUAAUUCGACUCAACACGGGAAAACUCACCCGGCCCGGACACUGUGAGGAUUGACAGAUUGAUAGCUCUUUNAUUCCAAGUUAUAUACCAGUUGGGAAACACUGGGAUGCGAAACGGCUAUUCCUUUUUAAAUCCCAUAAAUGCUUUGGUGACAAUUAUUUUGUAAACGAGGAUAAACAGUCCAUGAACUUAACUUUCUGGCGGUGGNGGCGAUGUGUGGUCAAAUCCCACCAUCGCCGCCUGACUUUACCCAUUGUGUGUUGAAUGGCAGCCCUUUGAUUGGCCGCUUCCUCCUUCUUGAGUUGUGUAUCUUUGUACAUUCAAUAAAAGGAAGUAAAAUACAAUAAAUA